Molecule: long non-coding RNA, 1166 nt
Filed under: Marmota monax (woodchuck)
Lineage: Eukaryota; Metazoa; Chordata; Mammalia; Rodentia; Sciuridae
Source: RNAcentral
UUUCUCCACACUGACUUAGAAGACAAAUUGAAAUAAAAGUUUAAUUGCAAAGUAAAAAAAAAAAAAAAAAAUAAGAGUAACUCCCUAAAAUUUGCUGUCAGUUGAAAGUAACUCCAAUAAAACUGCCAAUAAGAUUUUUUUUUUUGGCUUGAUUAACUAAUGCUAAAAUGAACAUAGAAGUGAACAUACAACAAUAGGAACAUUAUGGAAAAGAAGAGUAAUGAGAGGUAGAACCAGCUGUGUGAUAUUAAAUGUAUCAUUAAGCUACAGUAAUUAAAAGCUUGUGAUGAAGGCACAUAUAUAGAUGUAGAGACCAAUGAAAUAAAAUGUGAAGAUUGAAGAGAGACCCUCAACCACACAUGACAUGAUAAAAGUGAUGAUGAAAAUGGCAUCUGAAAUCAGUUGCGGGGGUGGGGUGGGGGGUGGAUCUGUAGUGCACACUUGUACCAGAAUGGAAUCAGACUUUAAAGAGUAGAGUCACAAGAGAAAUGGAGCUAAACCAGGGUAGAAAUUUUUUAUGAUUUUAAAUUAAGUUUUUUUAAAACAAAAUCCUAAGCAGAAGAAAAAGAUUCAUAGACUGCAUAAAAAGUGUAAAUUUUUGCUUAUCUAAAAACUACCACAAGUAAAGUCAAAUGACAACUUGAAGAAACAUUUACAACUCAUUAGAGAUAAUGGGCAAAGUUCCUUCAUGUAGGAGCAGUUUCUGCCAAUCAGUAAGAAAGAGACCCAACAGUUCAGGAGUGUAGAAAUAAACAUUCAUGCAUUGAUGGUGGGAAUACAAAUUGGGAAAGUCUUUAUGAAGGAUAAUUUCACAGGAUUCAUCAGAAUUAUACAUGUAUAAACCUAUUUGACUCAACAAAUCCACAUCCAGAAAUAUAUGCUGAGUUGAAAUGAAAUAUGCUUGAGGUUUACUGAAGAAUUGUUUUUGGUAGCAAGACAUUGGAAACAACCUUAAUAUUCAUUAUAGAAGACUGGUUAAAUAAAAUAGUAUCUAUUCAAGAUAGAAUAUUAUGCAAUUAUGAAAAAGAAAGAGGAAAUUACUGAUGUGGAAUGAUGUAAAUGUUACAUUAAAAAACAAAUGAAGGUAUAGUGUAGUGUGUGUUAGGUUGCAAUUUGAGUAGAAAUGAAAAUAUUAUAUGAUGCUUGUUGGAAGGAGUCACAAGAAG